Molecule: ribosomal RNA, 577 nt
Filed under: Colletotrichum gloeosporioides
Lineage: Eukaryota; Fungi; Ascomycota; Sordariomycetes; Glomerellales; Glomerellaceae
Description: eukaryotic LSU rRNA
Rfam family: 5.8S ribosomal RNA (bases 205-358)
Source: RNAcentral
UCCGUAGGGGUGAACCUGCGGAGGGAUCAUUACUGAGUUUACGCUCUAUAACCCUUUGUGAACAUACCUAUAACUGUUGCUUCGGCGGGUAGGGUCUCCGCGACCCUCCCGGCCUCCCGCCUCCGGGCGGGUCGGCGCCCGCCGGAGGAUAACCAAACUCUGAUUUAACGACGUUUCUUCUGAGUGGUACAAGCAAAUAAUCAAAACUUUUAACAACGGAUCUCUUGGUUCUGGCAUCGAUGAAGAACGCAGCGAAAUGCGAUAAGUAAUGUGAAUUGCAGAAUUCAGUGAAUCAUCGAAUCUUUGAACGCACAUUGCGCCCGCCAGCAUUCUGGCGGGCAUGCCUGUUCGAGCGUCAUUUCAACCCUCAAGCUCUGCUUGGUGUUGGGGCCCUACAGCUGAUGUAGGCCCUCAAAGGUAGUGGCGGACCCUCCCGGAGCCUCCUUUGCGUAGUAACUUUACGUCUCGCACUGGGAUCCGGAGGGACUCUUGCCGUAAAACCCCCCAAUUUUCCAAAGGUUGACCUCGGAUCAGGUAGGAAUACCCGCUGAACUUAAGCAUAUCAAUAAGCCGGAGG